Molecule: long non-coding RNA, 585 nt
Organism: Caretta caretta (loggerhead turtle)
Lineage: Eukaryota; Metazoa; Chordata; Testudines; Cheloniidae
Source: RefSeq, a predicted model, not a curated record
CUGAGCAGAGGAGACCAAUAAAAACAGUAUUAAUUUACAAAAUCACAGCAGAUACGGAGGACUGGGAAAACGAGGGCCUCUUGGAGAUUUUAGAACACCUUGAAAGAUUGCAGAACUCAGAGGUCCCUGUGGCAUCCCAGCAAACAAAACAGACCAUGAAACAUCAAGAAAUCACAUAAUUAGUUCAUGUUUGUAUAGGGCGUUGAGCAGGCAAAUUGCCAGCACCCAGCGAGUGCUGGGCGAUGUACAAUGCAGAGAAGCAAGCUCUGUGCUGAAUGAGAUUGUUGCCUGCACAGAAAGAUGACACACUGGGAGACUUGGAGGAAUAUAAGAACUGCAGUGACAGAGCAGACCAGUCCUCCGUCUAGUUCAGCAUCCUUUUUUGGACAGUGACCAGCACCAGAUGGAAGGGUCCAACCUAUCCCCAAGGAAAUUUCCUCCUCAUCCCCAGUCAUUAGAAAUUGGUUUAAACCCUGAAGCAUGAGGGUUUAGAUCCCUUCCAAAACUCUUAGUCUUUGUUCAUUUUGUAUUUACUAUUCUAAUUCUGGAUGUUCUUAUUCAUAUAAACACCCUGUUCCUUCUUGA